GCGCCCGUAGCUCAGCUGGAUAGAGUACUGGCCUCCGAAGCCAGGGGUCGCGCGUUCAAAUCGCGCCGGGCGCGCCA
Molecule: transfer RNA, 77 nt
Filed under: Pseudomonadales bacterium
Lineage: Bacteria; Pseudomonadati; Pseudomonadota; Gammaproteobacteria; Pseudomonadales
Description: tRNA-Arg
Rfam family: tRNA
About the family: Transfer RNA (tRNA) molecules are approximately 80 nucleotides in length. Their secondary structure includes four short double-helical elements and three loops (D, anti-codon, and T loops).
Source: RNAcentral